RNAcentral lists this ribosomal RNA (497 nucleotides) under uncultured bacterium. RNAcentral describes it as "partial 16S ribosomal RNA". It matches the Rfam family "Bacterial small subunit ribosomal RNA", at positions 28 to 507 of the family's 1533-position model. The record is from RNAcentral.
GAUGAACGCUGGCGGCGUGCCUAAUACAUGCAAGUCGAGCGAACAGACGAGGAGCUUGCUCCUCUGACGUUAGCGGCGGACGGGUGAGUAACACGUGGAUAACCUACCUAUAAGACUGGGAUAACUUCGGGAAACCGGAGCUAAUACCGGAUAAUACAUUGAACCGCAUGGUUCAAUAGUGAAAGACGGUUUUGCUGUCACUUAUAGAUGGAUCCGCGCCGCAUUAGCUAGUUGGUAAGGUAACGGCUUACCAAGGCAACGAUGCGUAGCCGACCUGAGAGGGUGAUCGGCCACACUGGAACUGAGGCACGGUCCAGACUCCUACGGGAGGCAGCAGUAGGGAAUCUUCCGCAAUGGGCGAAAGCCUGACGGAGCAACGCCGCGUGAGUGAUGAAGGUCUUCGGAUCGUAAAACUCUGUUAUUAGGGAAGAACAAAUGUGUAAGUAACUAUGCACGUCUUGACGGUACCUAAUCAGAAAGCCACGGCUAACUACGUG